This 497-nucleotide ribosomal RNA is filed under the name uncultured bacterium. RNAcentral describes it as "partial 16S ribosomal RNA". It matches the Rfam family "Bacterial small subunit ribosomal RNA", at positions 28 to 507 of the family's 1533-position model. The record is from RNAcentral.
GAUGAACGCUGGCGGCGUGCCUAAUACAUGCAAGUCGAGCGAACAGAUAAGGAGCUUGCUCCUUUGACGUUAGCGGCGGACGGGUGAGUAACACGUGGGUAACCUACCUAUAAGACUGGGAUAACUUCGGGAAACCGGAGCUAAUACCGGAUAACAUUUGGAACCGCAUGGUUCUAAAGUGAAAGAUGGUUUUGCUAUCACUUAUAGAUGGACCCGCGCCGUAUUAGCUAGUUGGUAAGGUAACGGCUUACCAAGGCGACGAUACGUAGCCGACCUGAGAGGGUGAUCGGCCACACUGGAACUGAGACACGGUCCAGACUCCUACGGGAGGCAGCAGUAGGGAAUCUUCCGCAAUGGGCGAAAGCCUGACGGAGCAACGCCGCGUGAGUGAUGAAGGGUUUCGGCUCGUAAAGCUCUGUUAUUAGGGAAGAACAAAUGUGUAAGUAACUGUGCACGUCCUGACGGUACCUAAUCAGAAAGCCACGGCUAACUACGUG